CUCUCUCUGGAAACUGUCAUUAGGGUUAGGGAAACUGUCAUGAGAUCUGCAUAUUUUAGAUAGAGGCUGCUUGCCUUAUUUGGGCACCUAAUGAAAAAGACAUGGAGGCCAGGUGCGGUGGCUCAUGUCUGUAAUCCCAGCACUUUGGGAGGCCAAGGCGAGUGGAUCACCUGAGGUCAGGAGUUCGAGACCAGCCUGACCAACAUGGCAAAACCCCGUCUGUACUAAAAGUGCAAACACAAAGGGAACUGCGUGGCUUGUUUCUACCUGAACAUUGUCAAGUGAUUUCAUCCUUUGAAACACAGUUGUGAAGUGUGUCCAGCAGUCUGAGAACAAGAAGAAGAAGAAAAUCUAAUCCUUCAGGGUGUCUGUGUGCCAGCCCUGCUCUCAGCACUUCCCAUGUGGAACUCCUUUACUUCUCCUAACAACUCCAUGACAUGGGUUAGACUGUGAUUGUUCCCAUAUUGUUGGUAGGGAAACUGAGGCAUGCAGGUGUUACAGAGCUCUCUCAAGUGGCAAGCUUUCUGGGUGGUUACAGAGUGGCAGAGCUGGGGUAUCCCAUGAUGUCACCACACUGCUAUAUGGAAAAGAACAUUAAUCGAGCACCUACGUGCUUGAUUCUCUUAAUUCUGUGACUGAACUCUCAAAACACCCUGGAUUGUCUACUUCCCCUCCUAGACUGUACUCUCCACAAGAGAGCAAAGCUGUGUCUGUUGCAUUCACUGUUGUCUUCCCAGAAGCAAGCAGCAUGCUGGAGACCCUCAAAUACAUGUGAAAUGAAGGGACACCUUGUGUUAUUUCACCUGUUUCCACCUGGUUCCCAAGUGGCAAGCUUGCAUUGAGGUUACAAAGUGGCAAAGCUGGGAUAUCACAUGAUGUCACCAUGAUGCUAUAUGAAAUGUAACAUUAAUUGAGUACCUAUGUGACCAGUUCUUUAAUUCUGUAAGUGAACUCUCAAAAAACCCUAGAGCACUGCGUGUUUUGAAAUAUACAAAUAGUGGGAAACGAAAUCUUUGUUCUGGAUGCAGUUAUAAUUUGGAAAGCGAGGAAAUAAAUUAUAACAAGGGGAAAAAACAGAAUACUACUAAAGUCAUGCCGUGUGACUUCUGAAGCUAGCUCCUAAGAAGUCCUUGCAGCUUCUGCCUGCGACUCUUAGAACACUUGCUUUGAAGGAUGCCAGAUGCUGUCUUAAAAGUCUGAGCACUCUGAAACCAUCAUGCUGUGAGGAAGCCCAAGCUAACCACAUGGGCAAAAAAGAUGCCCUCUGACUGCCACCAUUUGAGACACUCUAAUUAAGAACUGCCUCAUUGAGCCCAUGAGGCCCUGUGAAUGAUAAUAAUAAAUUGUUUUUAACCAC
RNAcentral lists this long non-coding RNA (1357 nucleotides) under Homo sapiens (human). RNAcentral's name for it is "long intergenic non-protein coding RNA 964". Lineage: Eukaryota; Metazoa; Chordata; Mammalia; Primates; Hominidae. The record is from RNAcentral.